CAGCUCUUGAGGGAUUGCCACUUUUUCUGCGUGAAAAUUCUGCUUGUUUUCUCAAGAUGUGUCUGGACACAGACCCUGAAGAUCACAGCACCAGAGAUGUAAGGAUUGGAAUCCUCACUGUGGUGGAAGAUGAUGUUGGCACUUCUGCAUCCCUGCCCAAUGUGAUAAACCUCGCUAUAAUCCUGGAGGAAGCCAUUGUUCUUCAGGAUAUUCCAGAUCUGCCUGCAGCCUUUGCUUACUUGUUCGGUUUCUUGUAUGCACUAAAUAUGGAAUAAACAAAAGAACUUUACUUAUGAAUAUACUUUUGAAGUGAUUCAGAAAGUAUUCAUGGAUCUUGGUGGCACAUGCUCUGCGAGAGUUCAGUCCCUGAAGUCUAAAUUGUUAUAGUUGCACACUGCCAUUUUGCAAAAAGGCACUGCAACCAUCAUUGGUUACAAACUUUGCAGACUGAAGAUGAAGACUGAAGUCUUGAGUUUUACAGUACUGUAUAUCUAACUAUAUUUUAUUUUAUUUUUUUUUCAUUUAAUACACAGGUAGGUGCAAUUUAAAGUUCAAAUGUGAAAUAAAACAUACUGUACUUUCAUAUUACUGUGUUCAUAGAUUUGAGAUGCUUUAUAGGAUGUUUGAACUGACAAUGUUUUGAGGUUCGGGAUGAGAAUUCUAGUGACUGUUCAAAAGUUUCUGAUGCCCCGUUGGCCAGAAAAA
Molecule: non-coding RNA, 705 nt
Organism: Danio rerio (zebrafish)
Lineage: Eukaryota; Metazoa; Chordata; Actinopteri; Cypriniformes; Danionidae
Source: RefSeq, a predicted model, not a curated record